GGGUUGUGAGGUUAAGCGACUAAGCGUACACGGUGGAUGCCCUGGCAGUCAGAGGCGAUGAAGGGCGUACUAAUCUGCGAUAAGCGCCGGUAAGGUGAUAUGAACCGUUAUAACCGGCGAUACCCGAAUGGGGAAACCCAGUGUGAUUCGUCACACUAUCAUUAACUGAAUCCAUAGGUUAAUGAGGCGAACCGGGGGAACUGAAACAUCUAAGUACCCCGAGGAAAAGAAAUCAACCGAGAUUCCCCCAGUAGCGGCGAGCGAACGGGGAGGAGCCCAGAGCCUGAAUCAGCAUGUGUGUUAGUGGAAGCGUCUGGAAAGGCGCGCGAUACAGGGUGACAGCCCCGUACACAAAAGCGCAUGUGCUGUGAGCUCGAUGAGUAGGGCGGGACACGUGGUAUCCUGUCUGAAUAUGGGGGGACCAUCCUCCAAGGCUAAAUACUCCUGACUGACCGAUAGUGAACCAGUACCGUGAGGGAAAGGCGAAAAGAACCCCGGCGAGGGGAGUGAAAAAGAACCUGAAACCGUGUACGUACAAGCAGUGGGAGCACCCUUUGGGUGUGACUGCGUACCUUUUGUAUAAUGGGUCAGCGACUUAUAUUCUGUAGCAAGGUUAACCGAAUAGGGGAGCCGGAGGGAAACCGAGUCUUAACCGGGCGUUAAGUUGCAGGGUAUAGACCCGAAACCCGGUGAUCUAGCCAUGGGCAGGUUGAAGGUUGGGUAACACUAACUGGAGGACCGAACCGACUAAUGUUGAAAAAUUAGCGGAUGACCUGUGGCUGGGGGUGAAAGGCCAAUCAAACCGGGAGAUAGCUGGUUCUCCCCGAAAGCUAUUUAGGUAGCGCCUCGUGAAUUCAUCUCCGGGGGUAGAGCACUGUUUCGGCUAGGGGGCCAUCCCGGCUUACCAACCCGAUGCAAACUGCGAAUACCGGAGAAUGUUAUCACGGGAGACACACGGCGGGUGCUAACGUCCGUCGUGAAGAGGGAAACAACCCAGACCGCCAGCUAAGGUCCCAAAGUCAUGGUUAAGUGGGAAACGAUGUGGGAAGGCCCAGACAGCCAGGAUGUUGGCUUAGAAGCAGCCAUCAUUUAAAGAAAGCGUAAUAGCUCACUGGUCGAGUCGGCCUGCGCGGAAGAUGUAACGGGGCUAAACCAUGCACCGAAGCUGCGGCAGCGACACUGUGUGUUGUUGGGUAGGGGAGCGUUCUGUAAGCCUGCGAAGGUGGCCUGUGAGGGUUGCUGGAGGUAUCAGAAGUGCGAAUGCUGACAUAAGUAACGAUAAAGCGGGUGAAAAGCCCGCUCGCCGGAAGACCAAGGGUUCCUGUCCAACGUUAAUCGGGGCAGGGUGAGUCGACCCCUAAGGCGAGGCCGAAAGGCGUAGUCGAUGGGAAACGGGUUAAUAUUCCCGUACUUGGUGUUACUGCGAAGGGGGGACGGAGAAGGCUAUGUUGGCCGGGCGACGGUUGUCCCGGUUUAAGCGUGUAGGUGUGUGUUCCAGGUAAAUCCGGUUCACUUUAACACUGAGGCGUGACGACGAGGCACUACGGUGCUGAAGCAACAAAUGCCCUGCUUCCAGGAAAAGCCUCUAAGCAUCAGGUAACAUCAAAUCGUACCCCAAACCGACACAGGUGGUCAGGUAGAGAAUACCAAGGCGCUUGAGAGAACUCGGGUGAAGGAACUAGGCAAAAUGGUGCCGUAACUUCGGGAGAAGGCACGCUGACACGUAGGUGAAGUGAUUUACUCAUGGAGCUGAAGUCAGUCGAAGAUACCAGCUGGCUGCAACUGUUUAUUAAAAACACAGCACUGUGCAAACACGAAAGUGGACGUAUACGGUGUGACGCCUGCCCGGUGCCGGAAGGUUAAUUGAUGGGGUCAGCGCAAGCGAAGCUCCUGAUCGAAGCCCCGGUAAACGGCGGCCGUAACUAUAACGGUCCUAAGGUAGCGAAAUUCCUUGUCGGGUAAGUUCCGACCUGCACGAAUGGCGUAAUGAUGGCCAGGCUGUCUCCACCCGAGACUCAGUGAAAUUGAACUCGCUGUGAAGAUGCAGUGUACCCGCGGCAAGACGGAAAGACCCCGUGAACCUUUACUAUAGCUUGACACUGAACAUUGAGCCUUGAUGUGUAGGAUAGGUGGGAGGCUUUGAAGUGUGGACGCCAGUCUGCAUGGAGCCGACCUUGAAAUACCACCCUUUAAUGUUUGAUGUUCUAACGUGGACCCGUUACCCGGGUUGCGGACAGUGUCUGGUGGGUAGUUUGACUGGGGCGGUCUCCUCCUAAAGAGUAACGGAGGAGCACGAAGGUUGGCUAAUCCUGGUCGGACAUCAGGAGGUUAGUGCAAUGGCAUAAGCCAGCUUGACUGCGAGCGUGACGGCGCGAGCAGGUGCGAAAGCAGGUCAUAGUGAUCCGGUGGUUCUGAAUGGAAGGGCCAUCGCUCAACGGAUAAAAGGUACUCCGGGGAUAACAGGCUGAUACCGCCCAAGAGUUCAUAUCGACGGCGGUGUUUGGCACCUCGAUGUCGGCUCAUCACAUCCUGGGGCUGAAGUAGGUCCCAAGGGUAUGGCUGUUCGCCAUUUAAAGUGGUACGCGAGCUGGGUUUAGAACGUCGUGAGACAGUUCGGUCCCUAUCUGCCGUGGGCGCUGGAGAACUGAGGGGGGCUGCUCCUAGUACGAGAGGACCGGAGUGGACGCAUCACUGGUGUUCGGGUUGUCAUGCCAAUGGCACUGCCCGGUAGCUAAAUGCGGAAGAGAUAAGUGCUGAAAGCAUCUAAGCACGAAACUUGCCCCGAG
Molecule: ribosomal RNA, 2786 nt
Filed under: Salmonella enterica subsp. enterica serovar Enteritidis
Lineage: Bacteria; Pseudomonadati; Pseudomonadota; Gammaproteobacteria; Enterobacterales; Enterobacteriaceae
Description: partial 23S ribosomal RNA
Rfam family: Bacterial large subunit ribosomal RNA
Source: RNAcentral